UACGUAGGGUGCGAGCGUUAAUCGGAAUUACUGGGCGUAAAGCGUGCGCAGGCGGCUACAUAAGACAGAUGUGAAAGCCCCGGGCUUAACUUGGGAACUGCGUUUGUGACUGUGUGGCUGGAGUGCGGCAGAGGGGGGUGGAAUUCCACGUGUAGCAGUGAAAUGCGUAGAGAUGUGGAGGAACACCGAUGGCGAAGGCAGCCCCCUGGGUCGACACUGACGCUCAUGCACGAAAGCGUGGGGAGCAAACAGG
Molecule: ribosomal RNA, 253 nt
Filed under: uncultured bacterium
Lineage: Bacteria
Description: partial 16S ribosomal RNA
Rfam family: Bacterial small subunit ribosomal RNA
Source: RNAcentral